This 374-nucleotide long non-coding RNA is filed under the name Nicotiana benthamiana. RNAcentral's name for it is "long non-coding RNA (NBEN_LNC007912)". Lineage: Eukaryota; Viridiplantae; Streptophyta; Magnoliopsida; Solanales; Solanaceae. The record is from RNAcentral.
UCCAUGAGGUUCCUAUUUGUAUAUAAGAUUGGAUGUCUUUCGAACAGAAUCUUACCUUGCUAUAGAUUCUCUACUUUUGGUAAACCUCUUGUAUACAGGAGCAUUCUCACUAUGAAUAUAAUUCACUUCAUUAAAAAGGUACUAGUAGUUAUGUUUAUUGAGUUAUUUUAUAUUCUGAUUGUGUUGAACAAGAAAUGCAUUUAUGAAAUCAAGUGAUCCUACUUUGUCUAGACGAGAUUCCAUCUUACAUAACGAGCCUCUGAGAUGAAUAGUGAUCAAGACUCUGAAAAACUUUUGACUUAUCCAGUAAAUAUUUGUAAUGUAUGAUAAAUAUCCAGAGAAGUUAUCACUUAGCCUGGCAGCCAGGGUCCACA